RNAcentral lists this ribosomal RNA (857 nucleotides) under Spathularia sp. Q. Zhao 8243. Its description in RNAcentral is "eukaryotic LSU rRNA". It matches the Rfam family "Eukaryotic large subunit ribosomal RNA", at positions 65 to 939 of the family's 3401-position model. Lineage: Eukaryota; Fungi; Ascomycota; Leotiomycetes; Rhytismatales; Cudoniaceae. The record is from RNAcentral.
CCAACAGGGAUUGCCUCAGUAACGGCGAGUGAAGCGGCAACAGCUCAAAUUUGAAAGCUGGCUCUUGCAGGGCCCGCGUUGUAAUUUGUAGAGGAUGCUUCGGGUGCGGCGCUGGUCUAAGUUCUUUGGAACAAGACGUCAUAGAGGGUGAGAAUCCCGUAUGUGACUAGCUGCCUGUGCCUGUGUGAAGCUCCUUCGACGAGUCGAGUUGUUUGGGAAUGCAGCUCAAAAUGGGUGGUGUACUUCAUCUAAAGCUAAAUAUUGGCCAGAGACCGAUAGCGCACAAGUAGAGUGAUCGAAAGAUGAAAAGCACUUUGGAAAGAGAGUUAAACAGUACGUGAAAUUGUUGAAAGGGAAGCGCUUGCAAUCAGACUUGCGCGGCGUCGAUCAACCUGGGUUCUCCCUGGUGCACUCGGCGCUGCUCAGGCCAGCAUCAGUUUCAGCGGUUGGAUAAAGGCCUAGGGAACGUGGGUUACUUCGGUGACUGUUAUAGCCCUAGGUGCAAUGCAGCCUGCUGGGACUGAGGACCGCGCUUCGGCUAGGAUGCUGGCGUAAUGGUUGUAAGCGACCCGUCUUGAAACACGGACCAAGGAGUGUAAUAUUUAUGCGAGUUUUUGGGUGUUAAACCCAUAAGCGUAAUGAAAGUGAACGGAGGUGAGAACCCUUAAGGGUGCAUCAUCGACCGAUCCUGAUGUCUUCGGAUGGAUUUGAGUAAGAGCAUAACUAUUGCGACCCGAAAGAUGAUGAUCUAUACUUGAAUAGGGUGAAGCCAGAGGAAACUCUGGUGGAGGCUCGCAGCGGUUCUGACGUGCAAAUCGAUCGUCAAAUUUGGGUAUAGGGGCGAAAGACUAAUCGAA